AGAGCGAACGCUGGCGGCGUGCUUAACACAUGCAAGUCGAGUGCGCAGCUUUCUGUAGCAAUACAGGAAGCCGGCGCACGGCGCACGGGUGCGUAACACGUGGGUAACCUGCCCUCCAAAGGGGGAUAACCCCGCGAAAGCGGGGCUAAUACCGCAUGACAUUCCGAGUACUUCGGUGUUCGGAAUCAAAGCUCGAAAGGGCGUUGGAGGAGGGGCCCGCGGCCGAUUAGCUUGUUGGCGAGGUAACGGCUCACCAAGGCAAUGAUCGGUA
RNAcentral lists this ribosomal RNA (271 nucleotides) under uncultured bacterium. Its description in RNAcentral is "partial small subunit ribosomal RNA". It matches the Rfam family "Bacterial small subunit ribosomal RNA", at positions 26 to 285 of the family's 1533-position model. The record is from RNAcentral.